Molecule: ribosomal RNA, 349 nt
Filed under: uncultured bacterium
Lineage: Bacteria
Description: bacterial SSU rRNA
Rfam family: Bacterial small subunit ribosomal RNA
Source: RNAcentral
UGGGCUUGACGUGUACGUAGUAGUGAAGGGAAACCGGAACGACCCCUCGGGGAGCGUACACAGGUGCUGCAUGGCUGUCGUCAGCUCGUGUCGUGAGAUGUUGGGUUAAGUCCCGCAACGAGCGCAACCCUCGUCGUUAGUUAUACGUGUCUAACGAGACUGCCGGUAUCAAGCUGGAGGAAGGUGGGGAUGACGUCAAGUCAGCAUGGCCUUUAUGUCCAGGGCUACACACACGCUACAAUGGGCGGUACAAUGGGCAGCGAAGUCGCGAGGCGGAGCGAAUCCCAUCAAAGCCGUUCGUAGUUCGGAUUGUAGGCUGCAACUCGCCUGCAUGAAGCCGGAGUUGCUA